This 5007-nucleotide long non-coding RNA is filed under the name Lupinus angustifolius (narrow-leaved blue lupine). RNAcentral's name for it is "long non-coding RNA (LANG_LNC000185)". The record is from RNAcentral. Lineage: Eukaryota; Viridiplantae; Streptophyta; Magnoliopsida; Fabales; Fabaceae.
AGAGCUCCUCCUACUCAAAAAUUCAACAUGCCUGCAUAUGAGUCUGAACCUCAACAUCAAAGUUCAACUCAAACACAGUUUCACUCUGAGGCACAAGUACCAUCACCUUAUCUUCUAUGUAUAAAUAUAUACCAAACAUGAAAGAUUUGAAAAAUGUAAUACCCAUUUGAAUAACUUUCUCUUUAAGAUCGGAAUCUUUAAACUCCUUGUUGAAAUUGCUGGCAAGAUGACGAAUACAAUAAACUGAUUUACUAUUACACCAUCUAGGCAACUCGGUACGAAGUGCACCCAACAACCCUGUACCUCUAUCUGAUAUUAUACAGAUGUUUGGUUGUGGGGUAACCAAAGUUCGAAGGUUGUAAAAAAACCACUCCCAUGCUUCCUUUGUUUCUCCUUCAACAAUGGCAAAUGCAACUGGAAAGAUACGUCUGUUACCAUCUUGUGAACUUGCUAUGAGCAACGUUCCAGUGUAUUUUCCGGUCAAAAAUGUCUCAUCUACUUGUAGAAUUGGUUUGCAAAAUGCAAACCCUUCGAUGCAUGGCUUAAAAGCCCAAAAUACUCUGUCAAGAAUGAAAGCACUUGGAUCUUCAACACCAUUUACAUAGUUACGAGAUGCUUCAUAACGAACAAUUGUACCCGGGGCAAAAUGUUGGACAGCGUUCAUCCAACGUGGUAACUCAUUGUAUGGUUCCUCCCAGUCACUAUAAAUUCUGCUCAUGGCUAAUUGCUUCGCAGCCCAAGCUUUUCUAUAAGUUACAGUAUAUCCAAAACGACUUACAGUUUCUUUCACAAGUGCCUUAAUUGGUAUACCUGGAUCUUCGGAUACCAAAUUAAUUAUACAGUUUGAAAUAAAUGAUGAGUUUAGUUUAGAGUGAUCUUGAGAAACAACAGUGGAUAAACAAGUAUGUGUUCCUAUUCUGCUCAUGGCUAAUUGCUUCGCAGUCCAAGCUUUUCUAUAAGUUACAGUAUAUCCAAAACGACUUACAAUUUCUUUCACAAGUGCCUUAAUUGGUAUACCUGGAUCUUCGGAUACCAAAUUAAUUAUACAGUUUGAAAUGAAUGAUGAGUUUAGUUUAGAGUGAUCUUGAGAAACAAUAGUGGAUACACAAGUAUGUGUUCCAUCAAUUUUUUUUAUUUCCCAAACACCACGUUUUACACUAAAAGAUGCACGAACUCGCCAUUCACAUCCUGCUCCAAAAUGUUUACAUUGAGCUACAAAUAUAUGUGGCCUUGAAAUUUUAACAACAUAGUCAAAAGAGUUAUGAAUAUGAAAUUGUUUAAUUGCAUUUAUUGUUGCUUCUUUACACUCAAAUUGCAUCCCAACAAAUAAAUCAUAUUCAUUCCUUAAGGUAGUUAAUCCUGGUCGAUAGUCACGACCAGCCUGAGAAUUAGUAUCACGAAAAAAAAAUGAUGGAGAAAUAUAUGUUAUGUUACCGUCUGGUUGACUAGUAUUAAUCUCAACAUCAUCCUCCUCAUUAACGUCAUCACAUAAGUCAAUGUCAUCCUCAUCACUGAAAUCACUAACAAUAUCUCUUAUGAUAGACAUCUACAUCAAAGAAAAAAUUAUAUAUAUCAGACAUUUCAUUAUAAUGGUAAUUAUAACAUUAAUAAUAGUUGUAGUUAUUGAAGUAAUAUAUUUACCUUAAAGAAGUAAGGAAUACAAACAAAUGACUUAGAAGAAGCAAUGAAGACAAAGUAAAAAUAAAGAAGUGAGGAAAAAUGUUGUAGUGUUUUGAUGGGUGUGGGUAGUGGUAUUUAUAUAGGUCAAGAUCAUUAAUUUUAAUUUCUUACUAACCUAAAUUCCUAUUCAUUAAUUAGUUUUGAAUAUAUUCGAAUUUCAAUAAAAUGUAUUAUAUGACACACUUUGAAUGACUAAUCCAUGUACACUCAGAUUCCAAUGCAAUGACAUAUUAAAUCUUACACCCAUUGAAUGACCAAUGCAUGCCUCUUGUGUCAUAAAAAAGCAUGCAUGCUAUGACACACACUAUUGAAGAUUCAAUGACAAGAAACAUUGAAUGACAAUUGCAUGUGCACUUCGAAAUUUGAAUUUUACAUGCAUUUGAAAAUAUAUUUAGUAUAGUUAGUGUAUUAAUUAAAUUUUCGAAUUUCACUAAUUAAGAUCAUUAAUUUUAAUUUCUUACUAACCUAAAUUCCUAUUCAUUAAUUAGUUUUGAAUAUAUUCGAAUUUCAAUAAAAUGUAUUAUAUGACACACUUUGAAUGACUAAUCCAUGUACACUCAGAUUCCAAUGCAAUGACAUAUUAAAUCUUACACCCAUUGAAUGACCAAUGCAUGCCUCUUGUGUCAUAAAAAAGCAUGCAUGCUAUGACACACACUAUUGAAGAUUCAAUGACAAGAAACAUUGAAUGACAAUUGCAUGUGCACUUCGAAAUUUGAAUUUUACAUGCAUUUGAAAAUAUAUUUAGUAUAGUUAGUGUAUUAAUUAAAUUUUCGAAUUUCACUAAUUAAGAUCAUUAAUUUUAAUUUCUUACUAACCUAAAUUCCUAUUCAUUAAUUAGUUUUGAAUAUAUUCGAAUUUCAAUAAAAUGUAUUAUAUGACACACUUUGAAUGACUAAUCCAUGUACACUCAGGUUCCAAUGCAAUGACAUAUUAAAUCUUACACCCUUUGAAUGACCAAUGCAUCCUCUUGUGUCAUAAAAAAGCAUGCAUGCUAUGACACACACUAUUGAAGAUUCAAUGACAAGAAACAUUGAAUGACAAUUGCAUGUGCACUUCGAAAUUUGAAUUUUACAUGCAUUUGAAAAUAUAUUUAGUAUAGUUAGUGUAUUAAUUAAAUUUUCGAAUUUCACUAAUUAAGAUCAUUAAUUUUAAUUUCGUAUUAACCUAAAUUCGUAUUUAUUAAUUAGUUUUAAAAAAAAUUCUAAUUUCAUUAAAAUGUAUUAUAUGACACACUAUGAAUGACUAAUCCAUGUACACUUAGAUUCCAAUGCAAUGACAUAUUAAAUCUUACACCCAUUGAAUGACCAAUGCAUGCCUCUUGUGUCAUAAAAAAGCAUGCAUGCUAUGACACACACUAUUGAAGAUUCAAUGACAAGAAACAUUGAAUGACAAUUGCAUGUGCACUUUGAAAUUUGAAAUUUGAAUUUUACAUGUAUUUGAAAAUAUUUACACCUUUUGAAUGAUAAUUACAUUUUCCUAUAAAUACCACACUCAUCUUCUCCCACUUUACACUCACACAUUCUACUCAAAUUCUCACAUUCUCUUCUAUUUUCUCCACUCUUAUAUUAUCACUCAAAGCAAUGGAAUAUUUUGGUCCAGGCCCUUUUAACACUUCUCUAUUAACACUUCAAGAAAAACAUAUAUCUACUUCUAUAUGGGAUGGUGAAGAAACUCUAUUUCGUGCUAGAUACAAUUUAUGGCAAACUCUACCUUCUGAACAAGUGUUACAAGUUAUUCGCAACACUGCUUUUGCCAACUUGUUGAAUAUUGGAGGAGCUGAAAUCAAUAAUCAUCUUCUAACAGCAAUGGUUGAGAGAUGGAGGCCAGAAACACACACUUUCCAUUUCCCUAAUGGAGAGUGCACCAUCACACUAGAAGAUGUUGCAUACCAGCUUGGAAUUCCCAUUGAUGGAAAAGCUGUUACUGGAGAUACAAGUUUGGAUUGGGGAGAUCUUUGCCAAUAGUUGUUAGGUGUUACCCUAUCAGAUAAACAAAUAAUGGGGCAAAGGGUACUACUUUCUUGGCUUGACAGCAUCUACCAAGAACUUCCAGAAGAUGCUGAUGAGGAAGUGGUAGAACAACAAGCUCGAGCAUUCAUUCUAAGAAUGAUAGGAGGAUUUCUAAUGCCAGAUACAUCAGGAUCCCGAGUCCACUUGAUGUAUUUACCUCUACUAGAUGAUCUAUCUGAGACAUUUGAAUACAGUUGGGGAUCAGCUGUAUUAGCUUGUCUAUAUCGAGCCCUUUGUCGUGCAGCAACAAUAAAGGAACAAAAAGAGGUUGGUGGAUGUCUACUACUACUUCAAUCAUGGGCAUACGACCAUAUUCCAAUUCUUGUACCAAGACUACAUCAUAACACAACACAAUUUUAUCCUUUGAUAACAAGGUAACUUUUUUAAAUCAUAUAUUAACUUAUUCAACUUAUAUACUUACUUAUUUAACAUUAUGUGCUAAUUAUUUUUAUUUCUUUUAAAAAUAUGGUCUCAACAUCUUAUUACCACAAACAUUACUGGGCAUGCAGCCAACAUCAUUUUCCAGUUUGCUCUACCAAACUCGUGUAUGGGGUACACAAGUUUGAAUUUUCUCUCUCCAAAUCUCGUGCACCCCAUGCACGAGAUCCCUUCCUAUAUUUUUUUUUUCUUUUUUUUUCUUUGCCUUGGACCGGUGUUUCCGGUCCAGGGUUUUUAAGAAUUUUGUUCUGGUUUUUGAGUUGUAUGAGUUAUAUCAAAAUUAUAGAUUAUUAUUUGUAUUAUAUUUUUUAUUUUGUAUGAUGUAAACUAAGAUUAUUCAUUCAGUUACAUGUAUCACUUUGAAACCUAAAUUGGUGAAGGUUUUUUGGAAUUUUAGAUGAGUUUUUUGUUGCAUGAGUUUUGUAUAAUUAGGGUUUUUGAUUUAUACUAUAUUUUUAUUUUGUAUGAUGUAAAAUAAUUAAAUCCAACAGCCUUCAAAAAUUCACGAGUUAGAGCUCCUCCUACUCAACAAUUAAACAUGCCUGCAUAUGAGUCUGAACCUCAACAUCAAAGUUCAACUCAAACACAGUUUCACUCUGAGGCACAAGUACCAUCACCUUAUCUUCAAGGAGAACAACCCUAUGGAGCUUUCACAACAUUUCCAACUACCUACCAUAUGGGAGAAGGUUCUCAAUAUCAACAAUCAUUGCCAUCAAUGUUUGCUACCAGUUCAAAUACACCAAUGUCGGCAUAUGGUUCACAAGGUUUUUACCGUCCUACUAUGCCAUCACAACCAUCAAUGUUUGCUACAAAUUCAAACACACCAAUGUCGGCAUAUGGUUCACAAGGUUUUUACCGUCCUACUAUGCCAUCACAACCA